RNAcentral lists this ribosomal RNA (550 nucleotides) under uncultured bacterium. Its description in RNAcentral is "bacterial SSU rRNA". It matches the Rfam family "Bacterial small subunit ribosomal RNA", at positions 355 to 896 of the family's 1533-position model. The record is from RNAcentral.
UAGGGAAUCUUCCGCAAUGGGCGAAAGCCUGACGGAGCAACGCCGCGUGAGUGAUGAAGGUCUUCGGAUCGUAAAACUCUGUUAUUAGGGAAGAACAUAUGUGUAAGUAACUGUGCACAUCUUGACGGUACCUAAUCAGAAAGCCACGGCUAACUACGUGCCAGCAGCCGCGGUAAUACGUAGGUGGCAAGCGUUAUCCGAAAUUAUUGGGCGUAAAGCGCGCGUAGGCGGUUUUUUAAGUCUGAUGUGAAAGCCCACGGCUCAACCGUGGAGGGUCAUUGGAAACUGGAAAACUUGAGUGCAGAAGAGGAAAGUGGAAUUCCAUGUGUAGCGGUGAAAUGCGCAGAGAUAUGGAGGAACACCAGUGGCGAAGGCGACUUUCUGGUCUGUAACUGACGCUGAUGUGCGAAAGCGUGUGGAUCAAACAGGAUUAGAUACCCUGGUAGUCCACGCCGUAAACGAUGAGUGCUAAGUGUUAGGGGGUUUCCGCCCCUUAGUGCUGCAGCUAACGCAUUAAGCACUCCGCCUGGGGAGUACGACCGCAAGGUUG